GAAGAAAACGUGACAUCACAGCUAACAGCAUUAGCACCCCACAGAAUUCAACGUGUUUGGAGAGACGUGUGGUGCGCAGGAACAAACAUAUACAACAAUGUGCUGCACUCAGGAGAGGACAACAGUUUGCUUGAGCUGUCAAACAUGUUAGAUAACUUCUGUUGUCACCAUUUAUUUGUUCCAAGACUACAACUAAGUUUUCACACCAUCAGCAGUGGCUGAGAUGACCAUUCACUCAGAACUGAGGGGAAUCUAACACUCAGUCAGUUAUGGAAGAUGGGAAGCAUCCAGCAUGCUGUGGUAGAACCAGAAAUCACAGAGGGACUCUGCCUGCCUCAUAUUGACAGUGGACUGCUGGAUGACCCACACUGUGGGGUCACUAUUCCUGAAACUGGCAAUGUGUUGAGCCCCGAACAACUUGGUAGCACUGAGGGCAGCCAUGGGUGCACUGGGACAUUC
Molecule: long non-coding RNA, 459 nt
Organism: Fundulus heteroclitus (mummichog)
Lineage: Eukaryota; Metazoa; Chordata; Actinopteri; Cyprinodontiformes; Fundulidae
Exons: 3
Source: RefSeq, a predicted model, not a curated record